CGCCCGCCCCGCGGGGACCUCCCGGCCAUCGACCGGGAUCCCGCAUCGGGGGUCGGAGACACCUCAUCGAGGUGAACGCCCGGAGUGAGCCCCACAGGCAUGCGGACCCCAGCCCGCGGCUGCCGGGGCGGCCUAGGGACGUCCUCCUGCCCAGCGCUGUCCCCGACGCGGAAUUCCCCGCGGGGAGGGAGGCUGUGUGUCGGGCCCGUGCGCCGAGGCCCACGGGUCCUCUGGGUUAGGCCAGCCUGGGGCGCAGAGGAGCCGGAGGGAGAGUGGAGCGAUCUCCCGAAGUCAGCAGUCUAUUGGGCAUUUAUCACACUCGCUAGGAGACCACGGGGCACCCUCCAGGGCACGAGCGAGGAAGCUGGAGGGCACUGGGGCCACCGUGAGAACAGGCCCAGGACAGCCGCAUCUGACCGCAGGGACUCCACAGGCAGCCGCGACGCUCUGCGGGGAGCAGGCGGGAAGAGCCCACCAGCCCAGAGCCCCAGAGGCUUCGAUUUUUAUGCCGUGGAGUUUGAUACAAACCAGUGCCAAUCUUACGGUGGCGGACAAAUAAUGUGUGCUAAUCCUGUGGUGGUAAAAAUAUUUUUCUUUGUGAUAUAAAUAUAUAUUUUUAGAAAACAUUUUUAUUAGUUUCUCAAAAGGUCUCACAAGAUAAGUUUUAUAGCACGCAGCCGUAUUGUUACAAGCUAGCGCACAAGCACACCACCGGUCCUAUGAUUAUCACAAGACUCAAAGUAAGUUUAGAAUCAGACAGAAGCAUAAGAUAAUUUGGGGUCGGAGAAGAUCAGUCACAGAAGUGGCAGCCCCCCCCGCAAAAAAGAAAAAACAUAUGGAGCAAUGGCAAGCUGCACUGGAGUCUCAGCUCCAGCCCCGCAGGAAGUCAUGGGACAGCCCCAUCUGAGAAGCACAUGCCUCUCCUGCACCUCUGCUACAAAUAGCAAAAGCUUCCCUGCUGAGUUUCCCAGGGGUGUGUGUGUGUGUGUAUACACACAAAAGUAUUAAAAGAAACCUGGAGAUUAUAAAACUUGUUUGUGAAGUGCUUACUUUGUGCCAGGCAUUAUCCUAAACUCUACUCAGAGUUCUCGGUUCAAUCCUCAGGACAGUCCUACAAAUUGAACACUACCAGACCAUCGUUAUUGUUACUCCAUUUUUCUAAUGAGAAAAUUGUGAAGAGCAAGGGAAUGCC
RNAcentral lists this long non-coding RNA (1192 nucleotides) under Heterocephalus glaber (naked mole-rat). Its description in RNAcentral is "lncRNA (ENSHGLG00100047376.1)". The record is from RNAcentral. Lineage: Eukaryota; Metazoa; Chordata; Mammalia; Rodentia; Bathyergidae.